GUGCUCCCUUAGCAGCACAUAUACUAAACAGGAACAAAACACAGAUGAGCAUGGCCCCUGAGCAAUAAUGACAUACAAAUUCACAAAGCAUUCCACAUUUUU
This is a small nuclear RNA of Aotus nancymaae (Ma's night monkey), 102 nucleotides long. Lineage: Eukaryota; Metazoa; Chordata; Mammalia; Primates; Aotidae. The record is from Ensembl.